CAUCUCUGAAGCUGAAUUUCUUUAGUUCCAAAAACAUUCAACUAGAAAGAACGGCCACCAACCUUGAAAUGUCCCUGGAAGACUAGGAGGAAGGCAGGGAGGAGAGCAGAGGAGGUAAGCUGAGGCCUUGGGGGAGGGGCAAAUGGAAAACAGAACAGAGUUGGUGACAAGGGUGUGCCACUCCCAGAUUUGGGGAAUCCCCUCCUUGUAAGUGCAUAGUUGUACAGAGCAUGUGACUGUACUUCUGCCCUUUUCAUUGCAGUAGGCCUGUUGUUAAUUCUUCCAAGAAACACCUCUGGGAGGAGGUAAUAAAACCUUUAAGCUGAUCUGGUAUGUGAGGCCACUUGGGUCCCUGUCUUCAAGGAGCAUAAUCAGACAAGUCUGUCAACAGCUGCAGUUGGAACAGCUUUGCUUUGAGCACCGCUGGGGUACCAAUUACCUCUGUUUGAGAAAUGCUUUCCAAGGCCAGCUGUGGUUUUGGGGUAUCAGCAUCCUUUCCCAACCAGGAACAUGUUGAAUGUUCAUUUGGGAAGACAGAAGCUUCCAGGAUCGUCACCUCUGGUGUUGCUGUUCCUAUUACACACAGUCCUCAGCCAGAUUAAAGUUUGAUGAUCGGUCCACAAGGAUAAAUUCUUCAAUUUGAGGUCCCUGACAGAUGGAGUAAUGGAUGAGCUUCAAGGGGAUCCAGGAAACCCUUUAAAUUGUAUAAAAACAUUUUCUCUGCUAAUACAUUUGUAUGUGGGCUUCUACAGAGAAAGUCUGUUCUUUUAUAUAAUUCUAAAAAGGAUCUGUUGGUCCCCACCAUAAUAGGAGCCACUAUGGAAUGUACUGUCCCCACUACUUCUUCAGGGCCUGGAUGAUAAAAUCCCAGCUUCCUUGCACUGGAGGCAUGGACUUGAGAAUCAGACAGACCUGGAUUCAAAUCCUGCCUCUGCCAUUUGCUGUUUGUGUGACUUCAGCUUUAGUUCCCUCCCUUGUGAACGUGGAAAGUAAUAUGGGAACAGAGAAUGAGAUUCAUACACGUGUAAUAAAGAAAGCAGAUGAAUUGCCAGGUGAUUGAGAAGGGAACGAGCUGAGACAGGAACGCUGGGGAGCAUCAGAAUCCAAGGGGUUUUUGAGAAAAGGGGGCCAAUGAAGGAGACUGAGAAGGAGAGGCCAAGGAGCCAGGAGAGAAACCAGAAGGGAAGACUGUCCGGAAGCCGAGGGAGGGGAUGACGUCAAGCAGGGAGCCAUCAGACUAAUCCACUUAGAUGAGGACAGGAAGGUACCUUUGGAUUUUUAUUGUAAAUAAAAUAAAAUAAAUGCUCAGGAAGCAUUUGAUGAACUA
Equus quagga is the source of this 1327-nucleotide long non-coding RNA. RefSeq lists it as uncharacterized. NCBI's taxonomy places the organism in Eukaryota, Metazoa, Chordata, Mammalia, Perissodactyla, Equidae. The record is from RefSeq and is a predicted model, not a curated record. The transcript is spliced from 3 exons.